CUACCCGGCAUCCUAGUAGCGGCGAGUGAGCGGGAAGAGCUCAAAUUUGUAAUCUGGCGUCUUUCAGGCGUCCGAGUUGUAAUCUAUAGAAGUGUUUUCUGUGCUGGACCAUGUCCAAGUCCCUUGGAACAGGGUAUCAAAGAGGGUGACAAUCCCGUACUUGAUAUGGCCACCAGUGCUCUGUGAUACACUUUCUACGAGUCGAGUUGUUUGGGAAUGCAGCUCAAAAUGGGUGGUAAAUUCCAUCUAAAGCUAAAUAUUGGCGAGAGACCGAUAGCGAACAAGUACCGUGAGGGAAAGAUGAAAAGCACUUUGGAAAGAGAGUUAAACAGUACGUGAAAUUGUUGAAAGGGAAACGAUUGAAGUCAGUCGUGUUCAUUGGACUCAGCCGGUUCUUCCGGUCUAUUUCCUUUGAACGGGUCAACAUCAGUUUUGUCCGGUGGAUAAAGGCAGAGAGAAAGUGGCUCCCUCGGGAGUGUUAUAGCUUUUUGUCACAUACACUGGAGGAGACUGAGGACUGCAGCUCGCCUUUUGGCCGGGGUUCGCCCACGUUCGAGCUUAGGAUGUUGACAUAAUGGCUUUAAACGACCCGUCUUGAAACACGGACCA
This 609-nucleotide ribosomal RNA is filed under the name Vanrija albida. RNAcentral describes it as "LSU rRNA". It matches the Rfam family "Eukaryotic large subunit ribosomal RNA", at positions 65 to 668 of the family's 3401-position model. Lineage: Eukaryota; Fungi; Basidiomycota; Tremellomycetes; Trichosporonales; Trichosporonaceae. The record is from RNAcentral.